CCCUUAGAUGUUCUGGGCUGCACGCGCGCUACACUGAAGCGUUCAACGAGUAUUUCACCUUGCCCGGGAGGGUUGGGUAAUCUUUUUAAAACGCUUCGUGAUGGGGAUAGAUUAUUGCAAUUAUUAAUCUUCAACGAGGAAUUCCUAGUAAGCGCAAGUCAUCAGCUUGCGUUGAUUACGUCCCUGCCCUUUGUACACACCGCCCGUCGCUCCUACCGAUUGAAUGGUCCGGUGAAGCGUUCGGACCGUGGCCUUUGGACGGUUCGCCGUCUGUUGGCUGCGGGAAGUUCGUUAAACCUUAUCAUUUAGAGGAAGGAGAAGUCGUAACA
RNAcentral lists this ribosomal RNA (329 nucleotides) under uncultured eukaryote. Its description in RNAcentral is "partial 18S ribosomal RNA". It matches the Rfam family "Eukaryotic small subunit ribosomal RNA", at positions 1470 to 1796 of the family's 1831-position model. The record is from RNAcentral.